GUGUUGGUAGGUCGGUCGGAUGGGGUACGUUGGGGGGUGGAGGUGUUGUCGGGAUGUAUUGGGUGUGAAUGGUGCGGAGUGGUGUAGUGAAGUCUGGUUGGAAACGUGGUGGAGGAGCGGUCAAGGGUGCGUGGAAACUGUGUAUGUUGAAGGGGCUGGAGGUCGGCGGGAGGGGUCGUGUAGCGGUGAAGUGGAUAGAGAUAAGCCGGAACCCCGAUUGCGAAGGCAGCCUGCUACGGCGUAAGUGACACUGAGGCACGAGAGCAUGGGGAGCAAACAGGAUUAGAUACCCGUGUAGUC
RNAcentral lists this ribosomal RNA (300 nucleotides) under uncultured Alicyclobacillus sp. Its description in RNAcentral is "bacterial SSU rRNA". The stretch from base 52 to 300 matches the Rfam family "Bacterial small subunit ribosomal RNA", at positions 547 to 795 of the family's 1533-position model. The record is from RNAcentral. Lineage: Bacteria; Bacillati; Bacillota; Bacilli; Caryophanales; Alicyclobacillaceae.